Molecule: long non-coding RNA, 1684 nt
Filed under: Marmota monax (woodchuck)
Lineage: Eukaryota; Metazoa; Chordata; Mammalia; Rodentia; Sciuridae
Source: RNAcentral
UCGGUUGUCACCGACGAAGUGCAGUCUGUGUGACCCUGUAAGGUCGAGGCCGCAGGCAACCUGACAUCAGGAAAAUUUUUCCCCCGGAACAAGAGAGAGUCAAGGAAGGAAGGGACAGAACCCCAGAAGAACGCAGCUCCGGGCCGGAAGUUCAGCUCCGGGCUGAACAGAGCUCCAGCAGGGCACAGCUCCGGCGGGACGCAGCUUCCGCGGAGGAGGAAGAAACCAGGGAGCCUCUCUCACGUAAACCCAGAAGCCUCAUGCCCCAAAGGGAAGCGGGACGCCAGAGGGUCCACUGCGACCAGUGAAGGUCUUAGUUGGGUGCAUUCCCUCCUCCCUACUGGGCGUCAGGAGCGAGCCGGAUGAUCACGGUCGCGUCCCCUGCUGGCAGCCCGAAGGGAGUUGGUGAGCCAGUGUGGGGGGGAAUUUACCUAAACCCGAUCAGUGGUGAGUGCAGGGAACCAGCGCCCAAAAAGACAGACAAGGGCGAAAUGUGUCGUUGGUGACAGCGGUGGUGGAGACGGGGCUCGGUUUUUUCGAGCACACUGUCUCCUGGGUUUUCGGCACCACUGCCAGACGCCGCACCGCACUGUGAUUGGGAGACACCACACGAUACAGAUCACCAGAAAGGUUCCACUUUAUUAUAAAAGGCUGUGUGUUUAUAUAGAUCUAAGGACAGGUAGCAGGGCUGAGGUAGAUAACAGGUUGCCCGUUUAUUGGCAAGCUCUUCCAUAUGUCAGUUCCUGAGCCCAAGAAGUUAAUUCUUAUUGGGGCUAGGCUUCCCAUCUGCAGGAUUUGAACAUUGGCGCCGGCAGGAACGUUUCGUGCCAGUGAAAGAAAAAAAGAGGAGAAAGAGGGUCGUUAGGUGCCAUGUUGGGGUUUUUCUCUGGGGUGCUGCUGCUGUUAUAUGUUUUCCCAACAGGAAGGAGCAUGGAUUCCUUACCACCAAGGGAACUUCAAUUACUAAUGCACCCUCUAUCUCCGAUCUCCUUCAAGCCUCAAAGUUUCCCACUGCCAUUGGAACUGAAAGAUGGCAGCUAAGUAACACCUUCCCCAGUGGGCACUUCCUUUCCUGACCUCUCUCCUUGUCAUAGGCCUUUUGCUAAUGCUUGCCCCCUGCAUCAUUAGAUUUAUUCAAGACCAGAUUCAAAGGGUCUCUAACCAAAUCAUGAAUCAGCUUCUGUUACAGGACUUCCAACCCCUCACCAAAGUGGGUUGUCUGGAGUCAGCAUCGCCUGGCACCUCCUGACCAUCACCAUUGCCUCAAUGACACAUCACAUUCCUAACAAGGGUCCAGAUACUGCCUCUUCUCAGCAGGAAGAAGUUACAGAAGAUUGAUCUACGCCCCUGUCCCUUAAGGGGCCCAAAAACAAACAAACAAAAAAAGGUGGUGGGGUGGAAUGUAAAGUCCUUGCUUGGCAUAUGGACAGUCAUCUUAAGGGACAGCCACCAUUUUAAGAAAAAUUUCACUUUCCCACUCAAGGGCCUUUCUGAGAAAGGCUCACCACUCCCUCAUACCAACCCCAAUCUUCACUACCCAAAUUAGGACCUGCCUGGCUCUAUUCCCUGAGCCUGCCCCAUAAAUGUCAUGGAACACAAUCCUGUAUUGCUUCUCUCCAUCUAUGGAUAGAUCACCUUUAGUUGUUAGUUCUGAAAAAUAAACUCCCAUGUGUAUCUCUGCCUG